Molecule: ribosomal RNA, 386 nt
Filed under: uncultured bacterium
Lineage: Bacteria
Description: bacterial SSU rRNA
Rfam family: Bacterial small subunit ribosomal RNA
Source: RNAcentral
AUUGAACGCUGGCGGCAUGCUUUACACAUGCAAGUCGAACGGUAACAGGGUGCUUGCACCGCUGACGAGUGGCGAACGGGUGAGUAAUGCAUCGGAACGUACCCAGUCGUGGGGGAUAACGUAGCGAAAGUUACGCUAAUACCGCAUACGUCCUGAGGGAGAAAGCGGGGGACCGUAAGGCCUCGCGCGAUUGGAGCGGCCGAUGUCGGAUUAGCUAGUUGGUGGGGUAAAGGCCUACCAAGGCGACGAUCCGUAGCGGGUCUGAGAGGAUGAUCCGCCACACUGGGACUGAGACACGGCCCAGACUCCUACGGGAGGCAGCAGUGGGGAAUUUUGGACAAUGGGCGGAAGCCUGAUCCAGCCAUGCCGCGUGAGUGAAGAAGGCC